GACGAACGCUGGCGGCGUGCCUAAUACAUGCAAGUAGAACGCUGAAGAGAGGAGCUUGCUCUUCUUGGAUGAGUUGCGAACGGGUGAGUAACGCGUAGGUAACCUGCCUUGUAGCGGGGGAUAACUAUUGGAAACGAUAGCUAAUACCGCAUAACAAUGGAUGACACAUGUCAUUUAUUUGAAAGGGGCAAUUGCUCCACUACAAGAUGGACCUGCGUUGUAUUAGCUAGUAGGUGAGGUAACGGCUCACCUAGGCGACGAUACAUAGCCGACCUGAGAGGGUGAGCGGCACCACGGGGACUGGAACAGCCCCAGGCCCCCUCGGGGGGGAAGCAGUAGGGAAUCUUGGCAAAGGGGGCAACCCCGGACGGAGCACCCCCGCGGGAGGAAAGAGGUGUUUCGGAUCGAAAGGCUUUUUUGAAAGUAAAGAAGGGGUGGGGGAGGGGAAAGUUCACACUGGGCGGGUACCUAAACAGAAGGGGACGGCUAACUACGUC
Molecule: ribosomal RNA, 497 nt
Filed under: uncultured bacterium
Lineage: Bacteria
Description: partial 16S ribosomal RNA
Rfam family: Bacterial small subunit ribosomal RNA
Source: RNAcentral